UGAUGAACACGUAAGAAUUGCCUUGAGGGACAACAACUGGAACGGUUGCUAUACCCAUAUGCUUUCGAGUGAAAUGGAUUUUCCGCCUAGAGAGAAGCUUGCGGCUGAUUAGCUUGUUGGUGAGGUAAUGGCUCACCAAGGCGACGAUCAGUAUCUGGUUUGAGAGGACGAUCAGACACACUGGAACUGAGACACGGUCCAGACUCCUACGGGAGGCAGCAGUGGGGAAUUUUCCGCAAUGGGCGAAAGCNUGACGGAGCAAUCUCGCGUGAGGGAUGACUGCCUAUGGGUUGUAAACCUCUUUUUUCAGGGAGGAAUAAAUGACG
RNAcentral lists this ribosomal RNA (326 nucleotides) under uncultured cyanobacterium. RNAcentral's name for it is "bacterial SSU rRNA". It matches the Rfam family "Bacterial small subunit ribosomal RNA", at positions 107 to 458 of the family's 1533-position model. The record is from RNAcentral. Lineage: Bacteria; Bacillati; Cyanobacteriota.